Molecule: transfer RNA, 86 nt
Filed under: Mycolicibacterium litorale
Lineage: Bacteria; Bacillati; Actinomycetota; Actinomycetes; Mycobacteriales; Mycobacteriaceae
Description: tRNA-Ser
Source: RNAcentral
GCCGCCGGAUGGAGGAGGCCCGCGAGACGCUGGCCCGCCUGCUGGGCGCGCGCCCGUCGGAGAUCAUCUUCUGCGCCGGCGGCACC